This is a non-coding RNA of Acanthosepion pharaonis, 114 nucleotides long. The record is from the annotation of a GenBank genome assembly. NCBI's taxonomy places the organism in Eukaryota, Metazoa, Mollusca, Cephalopoda, Sepiida, Sepiidae.
UUACGACCAUAUCACGCUGAAACAUCUGUUCCCUUACGAUGACUGAAGUUUAGCAACAUCGAGCCUGGUCAGUAUCUAGAUGGGUGACCGCUUGUGAAGGCCAGCUGCUGUAAG